This 882-nucleotide ribosomal RNA is filed under the name uncultured fungus. RNAcentral's name for it is "eukaryotic LSU rRNA". The stretch from base 324 to 479 matches the Rfam family "5.8S ribosomal RNA". The record is from RNAcentral. Lineage: Eukaryota; Fungi.
GGGGGAAAAUGAGCCGGACGUCGCAAACCCCCGACCCCCAUGGACGGCAGAAGGAAAUUGAUUUUUGGUCAUUUAAGAAGAAACAAARAGUCAAUAACAGAUUUCCGUAGGGGAACUGGGGAAGGAAUCAUUAUCGAAUCUAAAGGGGAGUUGUUGCUGGCCUUAAGGGGCAUGUGCACGCCUAAAAUUUAAUUAUCCUUCAACCACUGUGCACCCUUUGUAGGCUGGAGAAAUUUGGUUUAUGUUUUUUAUACACACCUAAAACAAGUAUUAGAAUGUCAUACUUUUCAGUACACUCGAGAGGGGGGAAAAAAAAAUUAUACAACUUUCAACAACGGAUCUCUUGGCUCUCGCAUCGAUGAAGGAACGCAGCGAAAAUGCGAUAAGUAAUGUGAAUUGCAGAAUUCAGUGAAUCAUCGAAUCUUUGGACGCACCUUGCGCUCCUUGGUAUUCCGAGGAGCAUGCCUGUUUGAGAGAACAUUAAAUCCUCAACCCCCCGACGAAUUUGUUUCUGACGUGGGGCUUGGAUGUGAGGGUGUGCUGGACUCAAAUAGCAGGUCAGCUCCCUUUGAAUGCAUUAGCGGAUUUUACCAUCGUGGAUAGGCUUCGGACUGAUAAUUAUCUAUGCCGUCGCCGUCAAGCGGUAAUCUGCUCAUAACCGUCUUUGGACAAUUUUUUGACCAUUUGACCUCAAAUCAGGUAGGACUACCCGCUGAACUUAAGCAUAUCAAUAAGCGGAGGAAAAGAAACUAACAAGGAUUCCCCUAGUAACUGCGGGUGAAGCGGGAAAAGCUCAAAUUUAAAAUCUGGCUGUUUUGCAGUCCGAGUUGUAAUCUAGAGAAGUGUUUUCCGCGCUGGCCGGUGUCAAGUAUCCUAUCACAU